Molecule: ribosomal RNA, 263 nt
Filed under: uncultured bacterium
Lineage: Bacteria
Description: partial 16S ribosomal RNA
Rfam family: Bacterial small subunit ribosomal RNA
Source: RNAcentral
UGAUUCCUACGGGGGGCAGCAGUAGGGAAUUUUCGUCAAUGGGCGCAAGCCUGAACGAGCAAUGCCGCGUGAACGAGGAAGGUCUUCGGAUCGUAAAGUUCUGUUGAAGGGGAAAAAGAGCGGAGAGAGGAAAUGCUUUCUGAUUGAUAUUACCCUUCGAGGAAGUCACGGCUAACUACGUACCAGCAGCCGCGGUAAUACGUGGGUGGGGAGCGUUAUCCGGAAUGAUUGGGCGUAAAGGGUGCGUAGGCCGCCUGCUAAGU